GACGAACGCUGGCGGCGUGCUUAACACAUGCAAGUCGAACGGAAAGGCCCUGCUUUUGUGUGGUUCUCGAGUGGCGAACGGGUGUGUAACACGGGAGUAUCCUUCCCUUGACUUUGUGAUAACUUCAGGAAACUGGGGCUAAUACCUGAUAGGAGCGCCUGCAGCAUGGGGGGGUUUGGAAAGUUUCGGCUGUGGGGGAUGGACUCGCGGCUUAUCAGCUUGUUGGUGGGGUAGUGGCUUACCAGGGCUUUGACGGGUAGCCGGCCUGAGUGGGUGACCGGCGACAUUGGGACUGAGGGAAGGCACAGACUGCUAAGGGAGGAAGCAGUGGGGAAUAUUGCACAAUGGGCGGAAGCCUGAUGCAGAAACGCCGCGUGCGGGAUAACGGCCUUCGGGUUGUAAACCGCUUUCGCCUGUGACGAAGCGUGAGUGACGGUAAUGGGUAAAGAAGCAACGGCUAACUACGUG
Molecule: ribosomal RNA, 468 nt
Filed under: uncultured bacterium
Lineage: Bacteria
Description: partial 16S ribosomal RNA
Rfam family: Bacterial small subunit ribosomal RNA
Source: RNAcentral